RNAcentral lists this ribosomal RNA (405 nucleotides) under uncultured bacterium. Its description in RNAcentral is "partial 16S ribosomal RNA". It matches the Rfam family "Bacterial small subunit ribosomal RNA", at positions 30 to 526 of the family's 1533-position model. The record is from RNAcentral.
AUUGAACGCUGGCGGCAGGCCUAACACAUGCAAGUCGAGCGAGGGCGGACGGGUGAGUAAUGUCUGGGAAACUGCCUGAUGGAGGGGGAUAACUACUGGAAACGGUAGCUAAUACCGCAUACCAUCAGAUGUGCCCAGAUGGGAUAAGCUGGUAGGUGGGGUAAUGGCUCACCUAGGCGACGAUCCCUAGCUGGUCUGAGAGGAUGACCAGCCACACUGGAACGGAGAAUCGGUCCAGACUCCUACGGAAGGAAGGAGUGGGGAAUAUUGCAAAAUGGGCGCAAACCUGAUGCAGCAAUGCCGCGUGUGUGAAAAAGGCCUUCGGGUUGUAAAGCACUUUCAGCGGGGAGGCGUUACCCGCAGAAGAAGCACCGGCUAACUCCGUGCCAGCAGCCGCGGUAAUAC